Long non-coding RNA from Anguilla anguilla (European eel), 830 nucleotides. RefSeq lists it as uncharacterized. Lineage: Eukaryota; Metazoa; Chordata; Actinopteri; Anguilliformes; Anguillidae. The record is from RefSeq and is a predicted model, not a curated record. The transcript has 2 exons.
UGACGGGCAGCAGAGCAGGGCUGUGCGAGGAAGAGGUGUUCCUUAAUCUCACACUGACGGGCAGCAGAGCAGGGCUGUGCGAGGAAGAGGUGUUCCUAAAUCCCACACUGAUUUCAGUAGGGUCCUAAUGAUGAAGAGGUGUUCCUUAACCCCACACUGAUUUGAGUAGGAUCCUGAGGAUGAAGAGGUGUUCCUUAAUCCCACACUGAUUUGAGUAGGUUCCUGAUGAUGAAGAGAUGUGCCUUAAUCCCACACUGAUGGGGAGUUGAGUAGGGUACUGAUGAUGAAGAGGUGUUCCUUAAUCCCACACUGAUUUGAGUAGGAUCCUGAAGGAUGAAGAGGUGUUCCUUAAUCCCACACUGAUUUGAGUAGGUUCCUGAUGAUGAAGAGGUGUUCCUUAAUCCCACACUGAUUUGAGUAGGGUCCUAAUGAUGAAGAGGUGUUCCUUAAUCCCACACUGAUUUGAGUAUUCGCACACUGCAGGGUUGCCACUGCAGGGCAGCACAGCAGGGUUGUGAUGAAGACGUGUCGUUCAGCCUUCUGCCAUUUUGUUUUAUGCUUUUUUCUUUUAAAGUCCCCCCUGUAAUGUUAUUCAGGCAGUGGUAGAAGCCAAUUACAGCAGACUCUUUUGCACAAAUGUGAUUUCUUGAGUUGGUUUUAUUAGAGGUGACGUUGACACUCUGUAAUGUGACUCUGGUUUGUUAGCUUUUUACCUUCGAUAAGAUAUGGCCCUCCAUUCAAAUCAGAAAUUGACUCAUGUUUGCUGAAUGAACAAGCUAACAACCUAGCUUGUUCCAAGGUGGCUGCGCCCUAGUGUUAGUUACUGUAAA